UGUUUUUAAUUUAUGAUUGUUGUUGGUGGAGAGAGCGGAAGAUGCCGGGGACAGCUUGGAGAAGAUCAAGCGGCAGCUGGCCUCUGGGUCUGGUCGGAAUUUGUUGCAGGGUCCCCUUCUAAAGCGAUCUGAAACAUUGAGGAAAUGGAAUGAGCGAUGGGUAGUUUUGGACCCAACAACAGGGAAAAUGGA
This is a long non-coding RNA of Cucumis sativus (cucumber), 192 nucleotides long. RefSeq lists it as uncharacterized. The transcript has 2 exons. Lineage: Eukaryota; Viridiplantae; Streptophyta; Magnoliopsida; Cucurbitales; Cucurbitaceae. The record is from RefSeq and is a predicted model, not a curated record.